Tympanuchus pallidicinctus (lesser prairie-chicken) is the source of this 2455-nucleotide long non-coding RNA. RefSeq lists it as uncharacterized. The record is from RefSeq and is a predicted model, not a curated record. The transcript has 7 exons. Lineage: Eukaryota; Metazoa; Chordata; Aves; Galliformes; Phasianidae.
CUUACGUGUGGUGCUAAGGAGUUUUUCUGUAAGUAGUGAAUUUGCUUUGUGUUUUUUGAGUUGUUUUGUUUUUUUCUUUUCCCCCCACACACUUUCUUCAUAACGUCAGCAGGCAGGACAUGGAUACUGGGAGAAAAAAGGAGAAAAGAAGCAGAGGAUGAAAAGAGAGCUGGUUACCCGGGCUGCUGCUGUGAUGGGACUGUGCUAGAGCUUUUCAGAAGGUGUGUCUUAGUGAGAUGGAAGAUGGUUGCUAUUGUAAGAGCAUUCUAAGCUGUGGAUCGGGGGCCAACAGAUACUUCCGAUUGAGUCCAGAGGAAGACUUUCCUGGUUUUCAGCCACUGAUUUUGGCUGCCUUAACUUGGAAAGAUGCUCCCUUGAUGCAUGUGUGGUCUCCUGAUAGCUGGGUGCAAUGCUACUGUGGUCUGAAGCUCUGCGUGAGGCAUCAAGAUGUCGUAUUUCAGCAGCUGGAGCCUCACAGGAGCUAUCACUCUCUGGCUGAUGUUGAGGACAGAGGCACCAGUCUGGCAGAGAGGUCUCGCCAUCCCUGCUGGGGUCCAAGGAAUUCGCAGAUGUUACCCUAUGUGGGCACCCUAUGGCAUCCCUGCUCUGGCUCCCUUCAAGUUUUGCAAGGCUGCAAUGAGGUCUCCCUGGAACCUUCUCUUCCCUCAUGCUAAACAGUCCCAGUUCCAUCAACCUUUCCUUGUAUGAGAGGUGCUCCAGUCCUCUGAUGAUCUUGGUGGCCCUCCUCUGCAGCUGCCCCAAGAGCUCCACUGCAGUUGGAGCUGAUAGGUAACAGAGCUCAACUUGAAUUAAGCUCCAAUGGAGGAGCUUCUUGUGGAGGAUGCUGACAGUUGUCUGCAUAACUUCAAGAACCUGUGAGUGGACAUGCAGCUGCACUGAAAAUGGCAGUACACCUGUGUGUGUCAUCAUCACCUGCUGCAAGCUGUCCGAUGCCCUGUAAUGCUGAUGAGGGGAUGUCUUUCUGCCUUCCUCACCGAGCUACCAAAGGCAAGCAGAUUUCUAUUAAAAUUCCAGCAAGUGUACCUAAAACCCACCUUAACAGCAAUGAAUUUACACAUUCGGUACAUUGGAAUAUUUUAUUUUCACUUUACAUGCGGUGUUAAAAACCCAAAGAACGUAUUAUUUACACAUCCACAAUACAAGUUUACAAGAUAUCUAUACAUGUUAAAGUACUCUAUAGUAUAGAGCAGCUUCAUUUAAGGGUUACUUUUUUAUGCCGUACCAUUAAAAAAGAUACAAUCUGCGUUUACCUUUGCACAAAUGGAUAAAGCAUCUUUUAUUAUUAAAUUAACAGAAUGAAGACUAAGUUGAAUGUUAGAAAUUUCAACAUAAAUACUGAGAGAACUCACAUUACCAUCUACAAGGCAGCACAAUGUUACAGGAGGUUAUCAGGGUUCACAUACAUUUAUCUUUCGAUUUCACACAAGUCUUUAUUAAUUAAUAUUUGUAGAGUGAAUUCAGAUCAGUUUUUGUCUCUUGACAACCAAGUACAUUUUUAUGUUAUUAAUCUGUAGUGUUUUAGUUGCAAGACAUAAGUGUUUAGGAAGAGAGAUCAUUGAUUUUUGGAUCCAGAGGUCUCAGGAAAUAAAUGUCCCUUACAGCCUUGCAAGAAAAAAUGACUACUGCUGUCCUUUAUUCUUUGUUCUGUAAAAGAGAUCCAGUUUUCAGUGACUAACCUUUUCUCCCCUUCGAACACAUAACAUAAAUCUCCACCAUCUCUGAAACCCGUUGCAGUUAUUUGUCCCGCUAAUUCAUUCCUCUGCCAUGGUUAUUUCUAUACUUAUGUUCAAUAAACAAUGUGGUAGUGUGUAGUUUGCAAGCUAAAAUAGCCAUCUGUGUUGAACAUCAGCUGCAAGUGGAUACUGUAAAACCUACUAAAUAGCUUACACAACUUUAGCAGGUGUUCCAUUACCCUAGAAACCUCAUUUGAUUUCACAUUAUAACUGUUUGAUCCUUCGGAGAGCUGGAGUGGAAUGUUUAUCAUGGCAAGGUGAUUUAAUGCUGCUGUCUUCUUGGAUUGUAGGCUGCCUUUAGUUAUUGUUAAUUAUCCUUGCUUAUUAUCUUUAUUUUUUUUUUGGGGGGGGGGGGGAGGGUGCUGUUGAGAGGUUUUACAACUGGCACUCAGGAGAUAUGUGCUAUAGUGAGAACACUUGACAGUUUUUUUUUUGUUUGUUUUUUUGUUUUUUUGUUUUUUUAGUACUUUUAUCAUUUGCAUGAAUAAGGCACAAAAUGCACAGAUUCAGGUAAACUCACACAUAAUAUUUACAGAAUAUUGUCAUUACCUGCAUGACUUUGGAAAAAAAAAAAACCAACAACCUUACAUUAAACAACAAAAACAAAUUGAUUGCACUACUGUUGAUUUUUCACAGACUGCUUCUGCCAGGCCAAUUAAUGUGUCUGUCUUUUUUUUUUUUUUUUUUUUUUUUCUUUUCUU